RNAcentral lists this ribosomal RNA (233 nucleotides) under uncultured bacterium. RNAcentral describes it as "partial 16S ribosomal RNA". It matches the Rfam family "Bacterial small subunit ribosomal RNA", at positions 923 to 1163 of the family's 1533-position model. The record is from RNAcentral.
GCACAAGCAGUGGAGUAUGUGGAUUAAUUCGAAGCAACGCGAAGAACCUUACCAGGUCUUGACAUCCGAUGCAUAGCGCAGAGAUGCGUGAAGUCCUUCGGGACAUCGAGACAGGUGGUGCAUGGUUGUCGUCAGCUCGUGUCGUGAGAUGUUGGGUUAAGUCCCGCAACGAGCGCAACCCUUAUUGCCAGUUACUACGUAAGAGGACUCUGGCGAGACUGCCGUUGACAAAA